This 442-nucleotide ribosomal RNA is filed under the name uncultured bacterium. RNAcentral's name for it is "partial 16S ribosomal RNA". It matches the Rfam family "Bacterial small subunit ribosomal RNA", at positions 338 to 795 of the family's 1533-position model. The record is from RNAcentral.
CCUACGGGGGGCAGCAGUGGGGGAUAUUGGACAAUGGAGGCAACCCUGAUCCAGCGACGCCGCGUGAGUGAAGAAGUAUCUCGGUAUGUAAAGCUCUAUCAGCAGGGAAGAAGAAAUGACGGUACCUGAGUAAAAAGCCCCGGCUAACUACGUGCCAGCAGCCGCGGUAAUACGUAGGGGGCAAGCGUUAGCCGGAAUUACUGGGGGUAAAGGGAGCGUAGACGGUGAUGUAAGUUUGGAGUGAAAGGCUGGGGCCCAACCCCCGGACUGCUCUGGAAACUAUGUGACUGGAGUGCAGGAGAGGUGAGCAGAAUUCCGAGUGUAGCGGUGAAAUGCGUAGAUAUUAGGAGGAACACCAGUGGCGAAGGCGGCUCUCUGGACUGUAACUGACGUUGAGGCACGAAAGCGUGGGGAGCAAACAGGAUUAGAUACCCCGGUAGUC